This 465-nucleotide ribosomal RNA is filed under the name Vreelandella stevensii. RNAcentral's name for it is "partial 16S ribosomal RNA". It matches the Rfam family "Bacterial small subunit ribosomal RNA", at positions 338 to 795 of the family's 1533-position model. The record is from RNAcentral. Lineage: Bacteria; Pseudomonadati; Pseudomonadota; Gammaproteobacteria; Oceanospirillales; Halomonadaceae.
CCUACGGGUGGCAGCAGUGGGGAAUAUUGGACAAUGGGCGAAAGCCUGAUCCAGCCAUGCCGCGUGUGUGAAGAAGGCCUUCGGGUUGUAAGGCACUUUCAGUGGGGAAGAAAGCCUUGGGGCUAAUACCCUCGAGGAAGGACAUCACCCACAGAAGAAGCACCGGCUAACUCCGUGCCAGCAGCCGCGGUAAUACGGAGGGUGCGAGCGUUAAUCGGAAUUACUGGGCGUAAAGCGCGCGUAGGCGGUCUGAUAAGCCGGUUGUGAAAGCCCCGGGCUCAACCUGGGAACGGCAUCCGGAACUGUCAGGCUAGAGUGCAGGAGAGGAAGGUAGAAUUCCCGGUGUAGCGGUGAAAUGCGUAGAGAUCGGGAGGAAUACCAGUGGCGAAGGCGGCCUUCUGGACUGACACUGACGCUGAGGUGCGAAAGCGUGGGUAGCAAACAGGAUUAGAUACCCGAGUAGUC